UGCAGUCGAACGAUGAUGCUAGCUUGCUAGCGGAUUAGUGGCGAACGGGUGAGUAACACGUGAGUAACCUGCCCUUGACUCUGGGAUAAGCGUUGGAAACGACGUCUAAUACCGGAUACGACGACCGAUGGCAUCUUCUGGUUGUGGAAAGAUUUUUUGGUCAAGGAUGGACUCGCGGCCUAUCAGGUUGUUGGUGAGGUAAUGGCUCACCAAGCCUACGACGGGUAGCCGGCCUGAGAGGGUGACCGGCCACACUGGGACUGAGACACGGCCCAGACUCCUACGGGAGGCAGCAGUGGGGAAUAUUGCACAAUGGGCGAAAGCCUGAUGCAGCAACGCCGCGUGAGGGAUGACGGCCUUCGGGUUGUAAACCUCUUUUAGUAAGGAAGAAGAACUUCGGUUUGACGGUACUUGCAGAAAAAGCACCGGCUAACUACGUGCCAGCAGCCGCGGUAAUACGUAGGGUGCAAGCGUUGUCCGGAAUUAUUGGGCGUAAAGAGCUCGUAGGCGGUUUGUCGCGUCUGCUGUGAAAACCGGAGGCUCAACCUCCGGCCUGCAGUGGGUACGGGCAGACUAGAGUGCGGUAGGGGAGAUUGGAAUUCCUGGUGUAGCGGUGGAAUGCGCAGAUAUCAGGAGGAACACCGAUGGCGAAGGCAGAUCUCUGGGCCGUAACUGACGCUGAGGAGCGAAAGCAUGGGGAGCGA
This 704-nucleotide ribosomal RNA is filed under the name Subtercola sp. 1.1-12. Its description in RNAcentral is "bacterial SSU rRNA". It matches the Rfam family "Bacterial small subunit ribosomal RNA", at positions 56 to 771 of the family's 1533-position model. The record is from RNAcentral. Lineage: Bacteria; Bacillati; Actinomycetota; Actinomycetes; Micrococcales; Microbacteriaceae.